UACGUAGGGGGCGAGCGUUGUCCGAAUUUACUGGGCGUAAAGCGCGUGUAGGCGGCUCCUUAAGUGAGAUGUGAAAUCCCGUGGCUCAACCACGGAACUGCAUUUCAAACUGGGGGGCUUGAAUUUGGGAGAGGAAAGUGGAAUUCCUGGUGUAGCGGUGAAAUGCGUAGAUAUCAGGAGGAACACCCGUGGCGAAGGCGGCUUUCUGGCCCAACAUUGACGCUGAGACGCGAAAGCUAGGGGAGCGAACGGG
This 253-nucleotide ribosomal RNA is filed under the name uncultured bacterium. RNAcentral's name for it is "partial 16S ribosomal RNA". It matches the Rfam family "Bacterial small subunit ribosomal RNA", at positions 524 to 776 of the family's 1533-position model. The record is from RNAcentral.